This 363-nucleotide ribosomal RNA is filed under the name uncultured bacterium. RNAcentral's name for it is "bacterial SSU rRNA". It matches the Rfam family "Bacterial small subunit ribosomal RNA", at positions 355 to 735 of the family's 1533-position model. The record is from RNAcentral.
UGGGGAAUAUUGGACAAUGGGCGCAAGCCUGAUCCAGCUAUGCCGCGUGGAUGAAGAAGGCCCUAGGGUUGUAAAGUCCUUUCGUUGGUGAAGAUAAUGACGGUAACCAAAGAAGAAGCCCCGGCUAAUUUCGUGCCAGCAGCCGCGGUAAUACGAAAGGGGCUAGCGUUGUUCGGAAUUACUGGGCGUAAAGCGCACGUAGGCGGCCUUGUAAGAUGGGGGUGAAAUCCCUGGGCUCAACCCAGGAACUGCCUUCAUGACUGCAAAGCUCGAGGAUGUGAGAGGUUGGCGGAAUUCCGAGUGUAGAGGUGAAAUUCGUAGAUAUUCGGAAGAACACCAGUGGCGAAGGCGGCCAACUGGCAC